AAAAAGGGCUUCUGUCGUGAGUGGCACACGUAGGGCAGCUCGUUUGCUCUACGUGCGGAAUCGACAUCAAGAGAUUUCGGAAGCAUAAUUUUUGCUAACGGGGUAGCUGGUGAUCGUUGGUCCUGGCGCCCCC
This 133-nucleotide small nuclear RNA is filed under the name Cervus hanglu yarkandensis (Yarkand deer). RNAcentral's name for it is "U11 spliceosomal RNA (ENSCHYG00000006237.1)". It matches the Rfam family "U11 spliceosomal RNA". The record is from Rfam by way of RNAcentral. Lineage: Eukaryota; Metazoa; Chordata; Mammalia; Artiodactyla; Cervidae.